This 72-nucleotide transfer RNA is filed under the name Camelus bactrianus (Bactrian camel). It matches the Rfam family "tRNA". From Rfam's summary of the family: Transfer RNA (tRNA) molecules are approximately 80 nucleotides in length. RNAcentral also lists the same sequence under 2 other names. The record is from Rfam by way of RNAcentral. Lineage: Eukaryota; Metazoa; Chordata; Mammalia; Artiodactyla; Camelidae.
GAGGAUGUAGUUCAGUGGUAGAGCACAUACUUAGCCUGCUCUAGGUUCUGGGUUCAAUCCCCAGUAUUUCCA